Molecule: non-coding RNA, 288 nt
Organism: Myodes glareolus (Bank vole)
Lineage: Eukaryota; Metazoa; Chordata; Mammalia; Rodentia; Cricetidae
Source: RefSeq, a predicted model, not a curated record
ACUCCAUUAGGACUCUGGCAACUGUAGUGACAGAAUCGGGAGACAUUGGCAAGAUGAUGGUGACCGAACCUUCUGAAGAAGAGACAAUUGGAGAGGUACUGAUAAUUGGAGAGCCAGGCCAGUCAUCUUCACACUGCCCAUGGGAUGUCAAGAAAACUCUCUCCGGCCUUGCCAGUCUAGUCUGAACUCCACUUUUCCUCCUUUUUUGGAAAAGGACGACCUUUUCUCCCCUUCCAGCUUUCUGUAAUUCCAUCUAGCAAAAUUAAACAUGGUUUGUCAAAAUCCAGA